CAAAUCUUAUCUUGUAAAUAGUUUUCUUUUGUUAUUAUUGUGUGUGUAGGAAGCAGUUCAUAGGGCCAUCAUUGCACGGAGGUUUAUACCAUUAUUCAUGGGCAGUGCUCUCAAAUAUAAGUUAUAAAAUUGGUUAGGGACACAUUUUAACGUGUGUUACAAACAUUACCACCAACAUGGCUUGUUUCUCCUCCAUGUCGCUCCUCCUCUCCUCCUCAACAUUCCACCUCCGUCGCUUCUCAACAGUGGAGUCAGCGGAGCUGCUGCACAACAUCUGGAUAUUGGGGCUCAUCGACCCUGCCAAGGUAAACUGGGAAGAGAGGUUCAUGUUAUACACAAGUAAGAUCAAAAGAGUUGAACGAGGCUGGGAGGAUAUUUGCGAGGAAACAAAAGGAGCGUCAGGAUUUAUACUUAGAGAAAAGUUCUUACAGAGAAAAUGCUCGAGAUCAAGAAUGUGUAGUGGGGGAAAUUGUUUAUGUUUCAGAUGUAAGUUAGACAGAUUAUUUCCGAAACCACGUUCUAAUUCGAUCGCGGCUGAUAUCACUUUCUUCAACUGGAAACACUACAAGAUUAGCAUAAUUGACACACCUGGUCGUGGCGUUGAUAAUUUCACUGCUGGGGUGAAGUGUGCUUUGCGUGCCUUUGACAGUGGUUGCCAUUAAUGUUCUUUGUAGUGUUGGUGGGGUGCAAAGCCACUCCCUAGUUGUUGAUAUAAACUACCAAGACUUAAAUUUAUCAACAAUGUUGACCACAAGGGAGCAAAUCCGUGGGAAGUUUUGAAUCAGGUAAAAUUUAGAUUAAUGGAUUGGAGGUCAUCAUAAAUUCUUAUGUUGUUAAUCCCAAAUAGCUGUACUACACAAAAUGCUAGAGGUAUAUAGUCGAUAGUAGGAUAGCCACUAUUGUGAUUACAUGUGAUUACAAGAGAAAAUGCUCAAGAUCAAGAAUGUGCAGUGGCUUGUCUUGAUCGCGGCUGAUAUCACUUUCUUCAACUGGAAACACUACAAGAUUAGCGUAAUUGACACACCUGGUCGUGGCGUUGAUAAUUUCACUGCUGGGGUGAAGUGUGCUUUGCGUGCCUUUGACAGUGGUUGCCAUUAAUGUUCUUUGUAGUGUUGGUGGGGUGCAAAGCCACUCCCUAGUUGUUGAUAUAAACUACCAAGACUUGAAUUUAUCAACAAUGUUGACCACAAGGGAGCAAAUCCGUGGGAAGUUUUGAAUCAGGUAAAAUUUAGAUUAAUGGAUUGGAGGUCAUCAUAAAUUCUUAUGUUGUUAAUCCCAGAUAGCCGUACUACACAAAAUGCUAGAGGCAUAUAGUCGAUAGUAGGAUAGCCGCUAUUGCGAAGACUAAAAUGCAGUGGACAAAGUAAACAUAAAUUCCAACAAGAUACAUAAAUACUAAAAAAUAGUUAGCAAUCGCAACCAACACUCCCACUAUGGUUGGGAGGAGCCGUUGUUUCGGCAUUGUAAUCGCGCUGCUACAAACUGCUAUGGAUUACAUGGGUUUUGUAGUCUACUGCUAUUAAAACAAUUUUGUUUAGUUUAUAAAGAGAUCUAAAGUAACAUCAUUAUAGAAAAAAAAUUGAAUU
Medicago truncatula (barrel medic) is the source of this 1586-nucleotide RNA transcript. RefSeq lists it as uncharacterized. The transcript is spliced from 4 exons. Lineage: Eukaryota; Viridiplantae; Streptophyta; Magnoliopsida; Fabales; Fabaceae. The record is from RefSeq and is a predicted model, not a curated record.